RNAcentral lists this ribosomal RNA (442 nucleotides) under Microbacterium luteolum. RNAcentral describes it as "bacterial SSU rRNA". It matches the Rfam family "Bacterial small subunit ribosomal RNA", at positions 22 to 474 of the family's 1533-position model. The record is from RNAcentral. Lineage: Bacteria; Bacillati; Actinomycetota; Actinomycetes; Micrococcales; Microbacteriaceae.
GCUCAGGAUGAACGCUGGCGGCGUGCUUAACACAUGCAAGUCGAACGGUGAACACGGAGCUUGCUCUGUGGGAUCAGUGGCGAACGGGUGAGUAACACGUGAGCAACCUGCCCCUGACUCUGGGAUAAGCGCUGGAAACGGCGUCUAAUACUGGAUAUGUGACGUGACCGCAUGGUCUGCGUUUGGAAAGAUUUUUCGGUUGGGGAUGGGCUCGCGGCCUAUCAGCUUGUUGGUGAGGUAAUGGCUCACCAAGGCGUCGACGGGUAGCCGGCCUGAGAGGGUGACCGGCCACACUGGGACUGAGACACGGCCCAGACUCCUACGGGAGGCAGCAGUGGGGAAUAUUGCACAAUGGGCGCAAGCCUGAUGCAGCAACGCCGCGUGAGGGAUGACGGCCUUCGGGUUGUAAACCUCUUUUAGCAGGGAAGAAGCGAAAGUGACG